UACGGGGGGAGCAAGCGUUGUUCGGAUUUACUGGGCGUAAAGGGCGCGUAGGCGGCCACCGCAAGUCAGUUGUGAAAGCUCUGGGCUUAACCCAGAAAGGUCAACUGAUACUGCGGGGCUAGAGUGCGGAAGGGGCAACUGGAAUUCUUGGUGUAGCGGUGAAAUGCGUAGAUAUCAAGAGGAACACCUGCGGCGAAGGCGGGUUGCUGGGCCGACACUGACGCUGAGGCGCGAAAGCCAGGGGAGCGAACGGG
This 254-nucleotide ribosomal RNA is filed under the name uncultured bacterium. RNAcentral's name for it is "partial 16S ribosomal RNA". It matches the Rfam family "Bacterial small subunit ribosomal RNA", at positions 524 to 776 of the family's 1533-position model. The record is from RNAcentral.